This 776-nucleotide ribosomal RNA is filed under the name uncultured Neocallimastigales. RNAcentral's name for it is "partial large subunit ribosomal RNA". It matches the Rfam family "Eukaryotic large subunit ribosomal RNA", at positions 19 to 646 of the family's 3401-position model. Lineage: Eukaryota; Fungi; Neocallimastigomycota; Neocallimastigomycetes; Neocallimastigales. The record is from RNAcentral.
CGAGCACGCGCGUGUGGCAUAUCAAUAAGCGGAGGAAAAGAAACUAACAAGGAUUCCCUUAGUAACGGCGAGUGAAGCGGGAAGAGCUCAAAUUUGAAAUCUUCAAGGUUCUACCUUGACGAAUUGUAGUUUAUAGAAGUGUUUUCUGUUAGUAGAGUGGCAAAAGUUCUUUGGAAUAGGACAUCAUAGAGGGUGAGAAUCCCGUAUUUGGUCAUUCUUUCUAGCUUUGUGAUACACUUUCAACGAGUCGGAUUGUUUGGGAAUGCAGUCCAAAAUGGGUGGUAAAUUUCAUCUAAAGCUAAAUAUUGGCGAGAGACCGAUAGCGAACAAGUACCGUGAGGGAAGGAUGAAAAGAACUUUGAAAAGAGAGUUAAACAGUACGUGAAAUUGUCAAAAGGGAAGCGUUUGACACCAGUGUUGUUUUUUCCGAAAAUCAAUUACGAAUGUUUUAGUUUUUGAGGAGUUAUGACUUCAUCGGCUUGCUCCUUUCUUUAUGAAACUUUCUUAAUGCACUUUUCGGUUAACAAGUCAACAUCAAUUUCUUUUGUUGUAAAAGGGUAUGAGGAAGGUGGCUUUCUUUUCGGAGAAAGUGUUUAUAGCCUUGUGCCUCUGCAAUCGGAGAGAUUGAGGUCUGCAGCGUAGAUCCUUCGGGGUUAGAUACAUUUGUGCUAAGUUAUAGCUUUUCAUAGACAACUUGUUGACUAUGUUUAGUCUUGUAGCUUACUCGCUUAUGCUAUUUUACCUACGCUUAGGAUGUUGAUGUGAUACUGCGAGCA